GACGAACGCUGGCGGCGUGCCUAAUACAUGCAAGUAGGACGCAGUUGCGAACGGGUGAUUAACGCGUAGGUACCUACCUAUUAGAGGGGGAUAACUAUUUGACACGAUAGCUAAUACCGCAUCCUAGUAGAUGGACCUGCGUUGUAUUAGUUAGUAGGUAGGGUAAUGGACUACCUAGGCAACGCUACAUAGCCGAACUGAGAGGGUGAUCGGCAAGACUGUGACUGAGAGACGGCCCAGAAUUCUGCGGAAGGCAGCAGUAGGGAAUCUUCGGCAAUGGGGGGAACCCUGACCGAGCAACGCUGCGUGAGUGAAGAAGGUUGUCGGAUCGUAAAGCUCUGUUGUUAAGGAAGGGGUAAUUAACCAGAAAGGGACGGCGAACUACGGGCCAGCAGACGCGGUAAUAC
RNAcentral lists this ribosomal RNA (407 nucleotides) under uncultured bacterium. RNAcentral describes it as "partial 16S ribosomal RNA". It matches the Rfam family "Bacterial small subunit ribosomal RNA", at positions 28 to 526 of the family's 1533-position model. The record is from RNAcentral.